UUUCACCAAAGUCUUUUGAAGUUAAUUCUCCUGUUUUCAUCCUCUAAUCCGAGGAAGACAGAUCUGAUGUGUUUCCAAUGAAGCAUAGAAAAAAAAAAAAGAAAGAAAGAAAAAAAGGCAUAACUUGCCUUUGGCUUCCACUUAAUUUGCAGAUGUGCUGGAGGCACCUCUGACAAUGACAGAGCCACAGCUACCACUGCCAGAGUUCUUGCAGCCACCUCCAAGACUUCUGUACUUGGCAUUAAAGAGAAAGCUUCUUCAAAGCCUGUCCCUCUGGAGCCUGCCAAAGUGACCAUUGCCAAAGGAUCAAAACCACUACCAGCAGCCAGGAGCUCCUUGCCUCCACUAUCAGAGCUACCAUGUCAUCACCAGGUCACUGGAGAUGCCACCAGUGCAGCCCCUAGAGGAGCCAAGGCCAUCCCAAGAAAAUCUGGAAAGCAGAAAAAUGUGUCUUUGGUGCUGGCCUUUUGCUGCCAUCAAAAAAAACUCUAAGCUCUGUGACGGUGGAGACCAUGACUUUCUUACUCACUUUUGCAUCCCUAAGAUCUAGCACAGUGAAGAUUAGCUCUGAGCUAACAUCUGUGCCAACCUUCCUCUACUUUGUAUGUGGGAUGCCUCCACAGCAUGGCUGAUGAGUGGAGUAAGUCUG
This 649-nucleotide long non-coding RNA is filed under the name Equus caballus (horse). RNAcentral's name for it is "lncRNA (ENSECAG00000028509.2)". The record is from RNAcentral. Lineage: Eukaryota; Metazoa; Chordata; Mammalia; Perissodactyla; Equidae.